This 202-nucleotide ribosomal RNA is filed under the name uncultured bacterium. RNAcentral's name for it is "partial 16S ribosomal RNA". It matches the Rfam family "Bacterial small subunit ribosomal RNA", at positions 1299 to 1500 of the family's 1533-position model. The record is from RNAcentral.
UGCAGUCUGCAACUCGAGUGCAUGAAGCUGGAAUCGCUAGUAAUCGCGGAUCAGAAUGCCGCGGUGAAUACGUUCCCGGGUCUUGUACACACCGCCCGUCACACCAUGGGAGUCGGGAAUGCCCGAAGCCGGUGGCCCAAUCGAAAGAAGGGAGCCGUCGAAGGCAGGCCGGAUGACUGGGGUGAAGUCGUAACAAGGUACC